RNAcentral lists this non-coding RNA (1336 nucleotides) under Diaphorina citri (Asian citrus psyllid). Its description in RNAcentral is "Bacterial large subunit ribosomal RNA". It matches the Rfam family "Bacterial large subunit ribosomal RNA", at positions 1534 to 2889 of the family's 2925-position model. Lineage: Eukaryota; Metazoa; Arthropoda; Insecta; Hemiptera; Psyllidae. The record is from Rfam by way of RNAcentral.
AGUUUAAACGGUCUCUAAGGUUAUUAAACUAAUGUUUAUGACUGAUGAGGAAUUUAUAUGAUAAGUUUUUCAAUAAAACUCAGGAAAAUAUAUAAAUAAUUACCGUACUAAAAACCGACACAGGUUCGCGCAUAGAGUAUAUCAAGAGGUGAAUCAAUUACCCUUAAGGAACUCGGCAAAUUGCACUCGUACGUUUGACAAUAAGAGUGACCACAUUAAGUGGUAUCAUACAAUCGGGACCUGCGACUGUUUCCCAAAAACACAGAUCUCUGCAACGAUUAAUUUCUUAGUAUAGGGAUCGAGUCCUGCUCAGUGCCAAGACGCUAAAUUAAUAACUCUAAUUAAAAGUUAGGGAAGUUUUAUAACGUCUGGUAAACAGCAGUCUUAACUAUAAGGAUUCUAAGGUAGCGAAAUUCCUUGGCCACUAAUUAUGGUCCUGCAUGAAUGGAAGCACGAUGGGUCCACUGUCUCAAGGGUAAGUUCAGUGAAAUUGGAGUGGUCGUGAAGAUACGAUCUAACUGUAGAUAGACGGGAAGACCCUAUGCAGCUUUACUGCAGCUAACUAUUGUAAUAGUAAAAAUUAUGUUCAGGGUAGAUGGUAGUAUAUGUAUACCAAUAUGUAUACGUUGAUGAGACACCAUCCUUAAUUUUUCACUAUUAUUUACCAAAAUAUGGAACAGUAGUUAGUGGGUAGUUUGUUUGGGACGAACUUCUCUUAAAAAGUAUCAGAGAAAUGCAAAGUAAAACUAAGUUCGGAUGGAAACCGAAAGAUUAUUGUAAAUCUAAGUUAACGUAAUAGUUUAAGUUUUGCUGACUGUGAGACCGAUAGGUCAAUCAGGUACGCAAGUAGGUUAUAGUGAUCCGCUAAUACCGUAUGAUUGGGUUAGCGCUAAUUAGAUAAAAGCUACGCUAGGGAUAACAGCUUUAUCCCCGGAGAGAGUCCAUAUUGUCCCGGGGGCUUGAGACCUCGAUGUCGACUCAUCCUAGCUCAGGUGUGUAUCAGCACCUAAGAGUUCAACUGUUCGUUGAUUAAAAGGGUACGCGAGUUGGGUUCAGUACGUCGUAAGACAGUACGUUCCCUAUCUUCUACAGUGAUUAUGUGCUAAUGUUAGAGCAUUAUCUAGUACGAAAGGACCGAGAAAUGAUCUAUCACUGGUGACACAGUUGUAAUAUAUAUUGCAUUUGCUGUUAAGCUAAAUAGAUUUGUGAGAAGUUCUGAAUGCAUCUUAAGAACGAAACCAACUAACGGAAGCACACUAUUCUAAUAUGUUUAGAAUAAAAAGAGGAAGACUACCUCUAAUUUAAUAGGCAAAUGAUGUUAAUUCGUAAGAAUGUA